Molecule: ribosomal RNA, 313 nt
Filed under: uncultured eukaryote
Lineage: Eukaryota
Description: partial 18S ribosomal RNA
Rfam family: Eukaryotic small subunit ribosomal RNA
Source: RNAcentral
CCCUUAGAUGUUCUGGGCCGCACGCGUGCUACACUGAUGCAUUCAACGAGUCUAAAACCUGGUCUGAUAGGGCUGGGUAAUCUUUUGAAAGUGCAUCGUGAUUGGGAUAGAUGAUUGCAAUUCUUCAUCUUCAACGAGGAAUGCCUAGUAAACGCAAGUCAUCAGCUUGCAUUGAUUACGUCCCUGCCCUUUGUACACACCGCCCGUCGCUCCUACCGAUUGGGUGAGCCGAUGAAACUCUCGGAUGUAGGCUAUUCAUAGCCCGCAGAAGAGAUUUGAAUCGUAGCGCUUAGAGGAAGGAGAAGUCGUAACA